This 253-nucleotide ribosomal RNA is filed under the name uncultured bacterium. Its description in RNAcentral is "partial 16S ribosomal RNA". It matches the Rfam family "Bacterial small subunit ribosomal RNA", at positions 524 to 776 of the family's 1533-position model. The record is from RNAcentral.
UACAGAGGGGGCAAGCGUUGUUCGGAAUUACUGGGCGUAAAGGGCGCGUAGGCGGCCUUCUAAGUCAGACGUGAAAUCCCUCGGCUCAACCGGGGAACUGCGUCUGAGACUGGAAGGCUUGAAUCCGGGAGAGGGAUGUGGAAUUCCAGGCGUAGCGGUGAAAUGCGUAGAUAUCUGGAGGAACACCGGUGGCGAAGGCGGCAUCCUGGACCGGUAUUGACGCUGAGGCGCGAAAGCCAGGGGAGCAAACGGG